CCGGUAAGGGAUGGGCAUGCGUAGGAUUAGCUAGUUGGCGGUGUAACGGACCACCAAGGCUUCGAUCCUUAGGGGUUCUGAGAGGAAGGUCCCCCACACUGGCACUGAGAUACGGGCCAG
This 120-nucleotide ribosomal RNA is filed under the name uncultured bacterium. RNAcentral's name for it is "partial 16S ribosomal RNA". It matches the Rfam family "Bacterial small subunit ribosomal RNA", at positions 215 to 334 of the family's 1533-position model. The record is from RNAcentral.